GACGAACGCUGGCGGCGUGCCUAAUACAUGCAAGUAGAACGCUGAAGGAGGAGCUUGCUUCUCUGGAUGAGUUGCGAACGGGUGAGUAACGCGUAGGUAACCUGCCUGGUAGCGUGGGAUAACUAUUGGAAACGAUAGCUAAUACCGCAUAAGAGUAGAUGUUGCAUGACAUUUGCUUAAAAGGUGUAAUUGCAUCACUACCAGAUGGACCUGCGUUGUAUUAGCUAGUUGGUGGGGUAACGGCUUACCAAGGCGACGAUACAUAGCCGACCUGAGAGGGGGGUCGGCCAAAAUGGGACUGAGGCACGGCCCAGACUCCUACGGGAAGCAGCAGUAGGGAAUCUUCGGCAAUGGACGGAAGUCUGACCGAACAACGCCGCGUGAGUGAAGAAGGUUUUCGGAUCGUAAAGCUCUGUUGUACGAGAAGAACGAGUGUGAGAGUGGAAAGUUCACGCUGUGACGGUAUCUUACCAGAAAGGGACGGCUAACUACGUG
This 495-nucleotide ribosomal RNA is filed under the name uncultured bacterium. RNAcentral's name for it is "partial 16S ribosomal RNA". It matches the Rfam family "Bacterial small subunit ribosomal RNA", at positions 28 to 507 of the family's 1533-position model. The record is from RNAcentral.